Long non-coding RNA from Quercus robur (English oak), 1245 nucleotides. RefSeq lists it as uncharacterized. Lineage: Eukaryota; Viridiplantae; Streptophyta; Magnoliopsida; Fagales; Fagaceae. The record is from RefSeq and is a predicted model, not a curated record. The transcript has 3 exons.
CCACCAAUGCAUUGGCCCCUAGAGUCACGGAUAAUCCCCCCACCACCAGCUAAACCAGACGAGCCAAGAAAGGAGCCAUCGGUAUUAAGCUUCCACCAGCCAUCAGGGGGUUUCAGCCACUUAACCAACCUUGGGACUUUGGUUUUUCUCUUCCUCGGAUCAGCAAUGCAGUAAAAAAAUUCCCUGGUUUGCAUCUCCACCUUCUGCACAUCAUUGGAAAUCAUGCAAUGUGAGCCAAAAACCUUCCUAUUUCGCUGCAGCCAAAGAUACCAGAUACCCAGCAGGAAGAACAAACACCAAGGGUAGUCCUUAUCACUAGUCAACAGCGUGCUAUUCGAGUUUAUGCGUAACCAAUCUAGGAAGUUACCUUCAAAAGACUGCCAUAAGGUAGAGGGGCAGUUAGCUUGUCUCCAAAAUACUUGGGCCACAGGACAAUCCCGCAAAACAUGCACAAUGGUUUCAUCAGGGUCCAAGCAGCUACUACAACCCCCUAGGCCAUCAAUCCCCCUAUGACCAAGAACUGCAUUGACUGGCAGACUAUGAUGAUAGCACGUGUAUUAAUUCACACUAUGGAAAUGAGCACUGGUUUUGAUUUUUGUUUUGUGUGGAGCACAAGGAUUGGAUGAUGAAGUUUUGAGCUUCUGUGAAAGUAUUUGAUCUGAGAUUUUGAUGCUGGUUUUGAAAAACCUAUAUGUAUAAUUAUUGUCCAUUUCUUUUGAUUCGGUGCUUAUGAUUUCGUUUGACCUUCAAGCUAUAGAUUUUUUUUGGUACAAGUAAUUUAGCUAUUUCUCAUUUAUUUUGAAAUUUAUCUAUCUUUCUUUCUUUCUCUCUCUCUCUCUUUUUUUUUUUUUUCUCAAGUUGCAGAGGAAUUACAUUCCGGGCCGAAAUGCAUUUUUCAGCCGGAAUGACCGAAAUUCACCGGAAAGGCCGAUGCAAACCGGAAUAGUCUGGUAUUUAAAACGAAACGAAAUAAAGGUCUACCAGUACCGGAUUGUUCACCGGUGAAAUGGCAAAGAAAAUUAAGAAGCGAGCUAUAAAACAAGCAAGAGAUAAAGGUGAUAGUGGUAGUCAAUCACAAGUUACACCUUCAUCAUUUGAUUCACCAACUAAUGAAGCACUUGCUUCUUCUAAUAGUGUGAUUAAUGGGGGCAGCGAAGGAUCUACUGUACAAAAGAAAAGAGGUCGGGGAAAGGCUAAGGGUGUUUAUCCAGGUCAUAACCGCAAGUGUGAGAUACAUGACAGAAG